Olea europaea var. sylvestris is the source of this 671-nucleotide long non-coding RNA. RefSeq lists it as uncharacterized. The record is from RefSeq and is a predicted model, not a curated record. NCBI's taxonomy places the organism in Eukaryota, Viridiplantae, Streptophyta, Magnoliopsida, Lamiales, Oleaceae. The transcript has 2 exons.
GUGUAAUGGGAUGUAUAUGGUGUUUGAUUUUAGUGACCCAGUUCCGGGCGGGAUAGAUAUGGUAUUCGCGUCGUCGUCCCGCUCCGAAUCGAUUAUCCGUUAAAAAUUAAAGAUAAAAUUGGUUAAUUGGACUUUCCAUUAUAAAUUGUCUAACUCAAAAUUUAUGGCCCAUUACCGACUCAUUAAGUAACCUAACCCAGUUACAAUUUACCCACUAAGUACUAACCUUAUUACAAAGAAAAUUAGAAUCGAAUUCAACAAGUUAUUAGUCGACAACUAUCUUUAUUCGAGUCUCUGCACCGUGUCCCCAAAUUUUUUUUUCUUCACAAUGUAUUCUUUUUUACUCGUCAUCGCCACCCCAAGUAGGAGAGUAUUUUAUUGCUAAUUUCUUCUCUCUUUUGUAUGUAGAAAAUUCUACUCCAUUGUACUCCGGAGCUUAUGUAUGAUUUGGUGAUGAGGAUAUUGACGAAGAGAGGGAUUAGCUUUAAAUUUCGACGAAUGCUAGUAAGAGUUGUAGAGAAGAAUGAAGAUUGAAUAUGAAUUAAAUUUGGAACUUUUGAGUUAUUGAAUAGGAAUCGAGUUCGACGAACAAAGACUAAGGGACAAAGAUAUUGUUUAGUAUUUUUAUGUUGAUAGUAUUGUUUGUUAAAUUCGAAUUUUACAUUUGAAAA